Non-coding RNA from Rhizoctonia solani AG-1 IB, 72 nucleotides. Lineage: Eukaryota; Fungi; Basidiomycota; Agaricomycetes; Cantharellales; Ceratobasidiaceae. The record is from Rfam.
GCCCUUAUAGCUCAGUGGUAGAGCGCAUCACUAGUAAUGAUGAGGUCCUCUGUUCGAGUCAGGGUGAGGGCA